Molecule: ribosomal RNA, 439 nt
Filed under: uncultured bacterium
Lineage: Bacteria
Description: partial 16S ribosomal RNA
Rfam family: Bacterial small subunit ribosomal RNA
Source: RNAcentral
CUACGGGACGCUGCAGUGAGGAAUAUUGCACAAUGGGGGGAACCCUGGUGCAGCAACGCCGCGUGGAGGAUGACGCAUUUCGGUGUGUAAACUCCUUUUAUAUGUCAAGAAAAUGACGGUAGCAUAUGAAUAAGCACCGGCUAACUCCGUGCCAGCAGCCGCGGUAAUACGGAGGGUGCAAGCGUUACUCGGAAUCACUGGGCGGAAAGGACGCGUAGGCGGGUUGGAAAGUCAGGUGUGAAAUCCUACAGCUUAACUGUAGAACUGCACUUGAAACUUCUAAUCUAGAGUAUGGGAGGGGGAGAUGGAAUUAGUGGUGUAGGGGUAAAAUCCGUAGAUGUCACUAGGAAUACCUAAAGCGAAGGCGAUCUCCUGGAACAUUACUGACGCUAAGGCGUGAAAGCGUGGGGAGCAAACAGGAUUAGAUACCCUUGUAGUC